UGGAAGCAAAGGAUCACCAACAAGACAUGGGAGAUGGUAUGCAAUGCGUAAACCACCCCUUCACGAAGAACCCAGGUGGGAUCUGUGCUUUCUGUCUCCAAGAAAAGCUCGGAAAGCUCGUCACUUCCUCUUUCUCUCUCCCCAAACACCUCUCCUCCUCCUCCACCUCUUCCUCAUCCCCUAUUCCCUCUCCCUAAACACCUCUCCUCCUCCUCCACCUCUUCCUCCUCCCCUUCCUUCAGAUCUGACUCUGUCGGCUCCACCACCACCGCCACCACCGUCUCCGCCUCUCUCUCCCUCUCCGCCUCCGGAGCUAGAAACGUAGCACCCAACAACAGCAGCACCAAGCUUCCGUUUUUACUUGCCA
RNAcentral lists this long non-coding RNA (367 nucleotides) under Brassica napus (rape). RNAcentral's name for it is "long non-coding RNA (BNAP_LNC005579)". The record is from RNAcentral. Lineage: Eukaryota; Viridiplantae; Streptophyta; Magnoliopsida; Brassicales; Brassicaceae.